Molecule: long non-coding RNA, 3376 nt
Organism: Sebastes umbrosus (honeycomb rockfish)
Lineage: Eukaryota; Metazoa; Chordata; Actinopteri; Perciformes; Sebastidae
Exons: 3
Source: RefSeq, a predicted model, not a curated record
AACAGUUCGUAGGUUCGUCUCAGCGACUCGUCGGCUCCCAGACUCUGAUAGUAGUUUCCGUACGGAGCGAGCUGCAGGGCGGAGCUAUCAGGGAAGAGCUCUGCUCCGUCCUGAUUGGCCUGCAGGAUAUCAGCUGAGGUAGACUUACGAACUCAAAGAAGAGUCUCUGGGCGACCUGGUGGAGGUGUUGAACUCUGCUGACGGCGAUGGAGAACAGACGCUGGCCGUCUGUGAUUGGCUGAGAGGAGACGCCCAGAGACACCACCGACAACAGGAGGACGACUGAGAGACGCAGGAGACAGCGGCGGCGGCGGUGGCGAGGUUCUCUGGUCUGACGGCAGUCUGGGUGACCAGGAACAGGUUCCCCGUCCUGGACCGUCGGCGUUCUGGAAGUCCAUCGGCAGGUCUACAACGGAUUCUGAAAAAGAGGAUUUGAUCUGGAGAAGUUGGGAAUUCUUCAUCAGCUUUGUUAAUAUGUGACAAAAUGUUGUAGUACAAUCCAUAUUUAGAUAUUGAUGUUCGUCUGUGUGACUGAUCGAGUCGAGGACAUUUCACUUUCACACCUUUGACUUCUUCUAUUGAACAUUAAAGGAACCAGCUGCAGCAGCUAAUCACUGGAUGCAAGUUUGCAAAAUUAUUUUCUUUUUUAUGAAUAAUAUCGAUCAAAAUCACGGUUUAAUUCACGGUGAGCAUUACGGCAACAAUAAAUGCUCUUUUUAACCUGAUUUUAGGGUUUUAGUCAGUAAAAUUCAAGAAAUUAGUGGCGAUAGAAUGAAUUUGCGUUAUCGUGUAAAUUUAAUACUGAUACUAAUUGGUUUUCGGAUACGGAACGGAUAUGACGUCACGUUGCUCAGACUACCACAAUAAAAUCUUUGAGAAACUUAUUUUCAAGCAAUUAUCACAAUACAUCAAUUUAUUUAACCUUUUAUCUCCAUUUAAUCAGGCUUUAGACCGAAUCACUCCACCACCACGGCUCUUUAAAAUGUACUAAUGAUGUGUUCUCAUCCUUUGAUAAAGGCCAACUGACAGGUGCAAUUUAAAUCGAUCUUUCCAAGGUUUUCGAUAUGGUUGAUCACUACCUCCUACUUGACAAGCUCUAUUCUAUUGGUUUAAAUCAAAAUGCUCUCCUCUGGUUUAAUGCCUAUCUUCAUAAUAGACGUCAGUGUGUUGUCAUUCAAGGUUCUCAGUCGGACUAUUUAAUUGUUGAAAAGGGUGUUCCACAAGGUUCCACCUUGGGACCACUUCUUUUUUCCAUCUUUAUCAACGACCUACCUCAAAUAUGCUCAAAUUGUCUUGUUCAUCUUUAUGCUGAUGACACUGUUAUUUACAUUUCUAACUCUGAUAUAUUACAAAUUCAGAAUUCUUUACAGUUUGAUUUUAAUUUGGUCUAAAACUGGUUUCAUAACAACAAACUUGCAUUGAAUAAAAAGACGUCCUGCAGCAUGGUGUUUGAUACGCGACAUAAUCGUUCACAUUACUUGGAUUUGCAUAUUCAUUUUGUUGAUGGGUCACCCCUUGAGAAAGUUGAUUCAUUCAGAUAUCUUGGACUUUGGAUUGACCGUGAACUCUCCUUUAAGCCCCACAUUGAUUUUAUUAUAAAACGAACAUAUGAUUGUCUGAGUUCACUUUAUCGCUCAAUUAAUUGUUUUACUUUUGAAGUCAGAAAAAGAAUAAUUUCACAGUUGAUACUACCUAUUAUUGAUUAUGCUGAUAUUGUCUAUCAAAACAUCUCUGAUACUUAUCUUAGGCCCCUUACUGUUGUGUAUAAUUCUCUUUGUAGAUUAGUCUUGAGGUGUCCUUAUAGAACUCACCAUUGUUUCAUGUAUGAAUCACUUAAUUGGUUGCAGCUGAAAUCUAGAAGGACAUUACACUGGGUUCAGUUUAUUUUCAAAGGUGUUUAUUUUAAUGUUCUUCCUAUUUGAAACAGUUUUUGGUUCCAUGAAGAUCUUCAUAUUCACUCAGACAUAAAUGCAACAUCCCUCUUUCUUUGUCCAAAGAAGUUUCAAAGAAGUUGGAGGCAGGUCAUUCCAAUACAAAGCUCCAUCAGACUGGAAUCAUCUCCCUCUUUCUCUGAGAUCUACUACCUCUUUCCGCUGCUUCAGGACAUCUUUAUUUUCUCAUCUUAAAACAACUCUGUAUUUGCAGUGGAUGUUUUCUAUGUAAUGCUGUUUAGUCUGUAUGUGUUUUUUGUAUUUGUGUCUAUAGGACCCCCUCGAACAUGAGAUGCUACAUCUCAAGGGGCUAUCCUAUCCUUUCAAUGAAUUCUGCUUAAAAGCGGUAACUUCCUUCUACGUCCACAUAGACUCAGAUGAAGCAGAUAGAUCCAUCCUGGUGUUAAAACAUCUGUUUAGAAAUUGUUAUCAUUUUUUAUGUCUGAUAAUGCGUCCAUUGCAGCAGCUCUUUAUUGAUGUGUUAGAAUAUAUUAAACUGUUUUAUUUGGCAUUAAUUUAUUAUACUAUAUUAAUUAAUAAUGCCCCCCCCCCCACCCCCUUUUGAGUAUAAACUGACUGAUGUGACUUUUUCUGUUUAGUGGAAAAUGUUCUGAUGACACCUUUAAACUCAGAGAUGAGGGAUGCAGGAGACAGUGUGGUUUCAUUGUUUUCCUUAAAGCUUCAGUGGAAACUGAAUGAAGCUGAAUGAAUAUGAAUGCUGAGGAGUGAAUGAGGAGGACUUUCCUCUGGUGUCCUUGAAUCAUCACAUUUAUCUACAAACUGCAGCUGAAAGUCAUUCAGAAAAGUUGUAGACAAAACCCUCCGAUGCGUUCUGUGGUUUUCCUUCCUGUUUUCAGAGAUCCUCGACUCGUCUGCGUCUCCGUCUCUUUCUGUCUAAACCUAAACUGAAGCUGAACUUCCUGCCUCGUACUAAACCGUCUCCCUGCUCUCUUCACGGUAAAUGUAAACUGAACAUUUCGGGGGUUAAACCGCACGUCGAGGAGUUCGAUGAAUGACGACACAGACGGCUUCGCUCUGAUUCAUUCGUCAAAAUGGAACCUAAUAACGUCUUCAGGGUGAAAUCAGGGAAAAGUUCAUGAUUCAGCAAACUGAUGUCUUAGUUUCCAUCUUUCAUUAACCCUUUAAACACUGUCAGCCUUUAAACCCUCAUCACAGGUUCAACACGUCAACAACUUCACUAAUAAACUGAUUUAAAACCUUCAGAAGAAGAAAUUAAUAAAUAAUGAAUUAGAACUAUCUGGUUCUUCUUCCUGUCCUGAGUCCUUUAGAGGGUCCCGAGCCUCAGGUUGGGAACCUCUUCAGUUUGUUUUUAAUUAAUUAACUCAUUCAUAAUUAAUUCAUUAAUUAAUAAUUGAUGAUUUAGUUCAGAUAUGUUAAUGAGGGUUGUUAAAGGAAUAACUACUGAAUAAAUACACAGACGAUAU